AGGGUGUAAACGCUGCAGACUUGGUGUUGGAAGUCCUUUGGGGGCAUUCAGUGCCGGAGAGAAGUUGUUAAGUCUGCUACUUGGGGAGUACGUCCGCAAGGAUGAAACUUAAAGGAAUUGGCGGGGGAGCACCGCAACGGGAGGAGCGUGCGGUUUAAUUGGAUCCAACACCGUAAAACUCACCAGGGAAGACUGUUACAUGAAAGCCGAGAUGAAGACUCUGCUAGAUUUUUCAGAGAGGUGGUGCAUGGCGUCAGUGACU
This 262-nucleotide ribosomal RNA is filed under the name uncultured archaeon. RNAcentral's name for it is "partial 16S ribosomal RNA". It matches the Rfam family "Archaeal small subunit ribosomal RNA", at positions 748 to 1008 of the family's 1478-position model. The record is from RNAcentral.